This 493-nucleotide ribosomal RNA is filed under the name uncultured bacterium. Its description in RNAcentral is "bacterial SSU rRNA". It matches the Rfam family "Bacterial small subunit ribosomal RNA", at positions 30 to 517 of the family's 1533-position model. The record is from RNAcentral.
AUUGAACGCUGGCGGCAUGCUUUACACAUGCAAGUCGAACGGUAGAGGGGGCAACCCCCUCCGAGAGUGGCGAACGGGUGAGUAAUAUAUCGGAACGUGCCCAGUCGUGGGGGAUAACGUAGCGAAAGUUACGCUAAUACCGCAUACGAUCUACGGAUGAAAGCGGGGGAUCGCAAGACCUCGCGCGAUUGGAGCGGCCGAUAUCAGAUUAGGUAGUUGGUGGGGUAAAGGCUCACCAAGCCAACGAUCUGUAGCUGGUCUGAGAGGACGACCAGCCACACUGGAACUGAGACACGGUCCAGACUCCUACGGGAGGCAGCAGUGGGGGAAUUUUGGACAAUGGACGCAAGUCUGAUCCAGCCAUUCCGCGUGCAGGAUGAAGGCCCUCGGGUUGUAAACUGCUCUUGUACGGAACGAAAAGGUUUCCAUUAAUACUGGGAGCUCAUGACGGUACCGUAAGAAUAAGCACCGGCUAACUACGUGCCAGCAGCCG